CCUACGGUAGGCAGCAGUCGAGAAUCAUUCACAAUGGGGGAAACCCUGAUGGUGCGACGCCGCGUGGGGGAAUGAAGUUCUUCGGAUUGUAAACCCCUGUCAUGUGGGAGCAAAUUAAAAAGAUAGUACCACAAGAGGAAGAGACGGCUAACUCUGUGCCAGCAGCCGCGGUAAUACAGAGGUCUCAAGCGUUGUUCGGAAUCACUGGGCGUAAAGCGUGCGUAGGCUGUUUCGUAAGUCGUGUGUGAAAGGCGCGGGCUCAACCCGCGGACGGCACAUGAUACUGCGAGACUAGAGUAAUGGAGGGGGAACCGGAAUUCUAGGUGUAGCAGUGAAAUGCGUAGAUAUCGAGAGGAACACUCGUGGCGAAGGCGGGUUCCUGGACAUUAACUGACGCUGAGGCACGAAGGCCAGGGGAGCGAAAGGGAUUAGAUACCCCUGUAGUC
This 446-nucleotide ribosomal RNA is filed under the name uncultured bacterium. Its description in RNAcentral is "partial 16S ribosomal RNA". It matches the Rfam family "Bacterial small subunit ribosomal RNA", at positions 338 to 795 of the family's 1533-position model. The record is from RNAcentral.